UACGAAGGGGGCUAGCGUUGCUCGGAAUUACUGGGCGUAAAGGGCGCGUAGGCGGGUCGUCAAGCUGGGGGUGAAAGCCCAGGGCUCAACCCUGGAACUGCCUUCAAAACUGGCGACCUAGAGUAUGGCAGAGGUGUGUGGAACUCCGAGUGUAGAGGUGAAAUGCGUAGAUAUUGGGAAGAACACCAGUGGCGAAGGCGACACACUGGGCCAUUACUGACGCUGAGGCGCGAAAGCGUGGGGAGCAAACAGG
This 253-nucleotide ribosomal RNA is filed under the name uncultured bacterium. RNAcentral describes it as "partial 16S ribosomal RNA". It matches the Rfam family "Bacterial small subunit ribosomal RNA", at positions 524 to 776 of the family's 1533-position model. The record is from RNAcentral.